Molecule: long non-coding RNA, 1188 nt
Organism: Rhinichthys klamathensis goyatoka
Lineage: Eukaryota; Metazoa; Chordata; Actinopteri; Cypriniformes; Leuciscidae
Exons: 3
Source: RefSeq, a predicted model, not a curated record
GGGGCUGCUGGAGUGUCCUCCACCUGAAAGCCUGCAAAGAGAGGCUCACUGGCUCUCCCUUGUGUGAAAUGAAAGGCUACAUCGCUGUUUUUCGGAUCCUGUGGGAUAAAGCAGCAUGUGGUCCUGGUGAUUUGAAUCCUGUAAAACCGCCCCGGGUAUAUUGAAACAUCUGUCAGCGUAGAUCUGGACAAUGGGAGACUGGGUGCAGCUGUGGACCUCUUCACCUCAGCCUGGCACUCGAGGUCUGCACCCCUGCAUGACGAACAAUGGAGGUAUUAGAAGGCCCUGUUAAGCUGCAGCCCUCUUCAAACAGGCAGCCAGCAUGGUACCAGAUCCAAGCCCUCAGCAGCUGUGCUAACCCCCAUUCACUUCACUGACAGAAAUCCCUGCUCUCCAUCCCAAAGACUGCUUAAUGCAGGGCUCUCUCAAGUGAAAAGAGUGUUUCUUAUGUCUCUAUUAUCUCAGAAAAAGGACACACAGAUUCUUUUUGUGCCAGUACACUUUCAUUUGCCAAAGGCAAGCAGUCUCAUUUUUUUUUUUUUUUUUUGAAAAGGGUAUCAAAGAGAGAAAGGGGGUUUUAUAACAAGCCCGUAGCAGAGAGAGCAGGUCUCGUAGCCUGAAACGUCUUAUGUUUCACUGCCUCUUUUCCUGGUAUCUGACGCUGGGCUGCCCAGCCUCCACGGUAAUUAGGCUGAAAAUCCUUCAGUGCAGGGCCCCUGCAUAAAACACUCUUUGAUGGGGAACUUGAUUUCCUCAAAAAACUUUUUGGCAAAGUUGGCUUAUGCCCAUAUCGGUCAUCCCCACCUCGUUCCUUAUUGGAUUUUGACCUACUGUACCAACACACUUGUGACACCCUGCCCUGUGCUGGUACACAGAAACCAAUUGGACAUGCUCUAUAAAUCAUCGCCAACAUCCUUCUAGUGGAGAAUGGAAAAAAUAAAAUAGGAGACAGGCCUGCAGCCCUGGAAGGAAGGAGGCACAACUGGAAUGUAUUAUGCCAAAGGAACAGGGGAUAUUAAAUACAUAUCAGCAGCUGGAGGUGUUCAGAUACAAGGAGGAAAGGUGUGUGUUGCACUGGAUACAAGUACAAGUUACAACAUAUAGACUGUAUUACACUGACAUAUCUUUCUGAGAUUAUACUAAUCAAUAUUAUUAUGCAUGAUCUCUCACAUGGAUGACAUGCAUUUA